This 321-nucleotide unclassified non-coding RNA is filed under the name uncultured fungus. Its description in RNAcentral is "partial contains small subunit ribosomal RNA, internal transcribed spacer 1, and 5.8S ribosomal RNA". The stretch from base 1 to 73 matches the Rfam family "Eukaryotic small subunit ribosomal RNA", at positions 1759 to 1831 of the family's 1831-position model. Lineage: Eukaryota; Fungi. The record is from RNAcentral.
ACAAACUUGGUCAUUUAGAGGAAGUAAAAGUCGUAACAAGGUUUCCGUAGGUGAACCUGCGGAAGGAUCAUUACCGUGUGAAUCGCGCUGGAGGGGGUUCCCCCCUCCGGUUCGCACACCCUCUGUGUAUCUCUCCGGUUGCUUCGGCGGGUUGCGGUUCGCCGCCGCCGUCCCCCCCCCUUCCUGGGGAGGAUGGCGCCCGACUCGCCGAAAGACAGCUAAACUCUGGCUUUUGCGGUGACGUCUGAGCCUAAUAUUUGAAAUAUACAAAAAACUUUCAACGAUGGAUCUCUUGGUUCCAGGAUCGAUGAAGAACGCAGC